Dicentrarchus labrax (European seabass) is the source of this 69-nucleotide small nucleolar RNA. Its record names the gene SNORD58. It matches the Rfam family "Small nucleolar RNA SNORD58". Rfam says of the family: snoRNA U58 is found in introns 1, 3 and 6 of the ribosomal protein RPL17 gene in humans. The record is from Ensembl. Lineage: Eukaryota; Metazoa; Chordata; Actinopteri; Moronidae.
CGGCUGUGAUGACUUCUUAGGACACCUUUGGAUUCCACAUGAAACUAACUGAUCUAAGAUCUGAGCCGC